This is a non-coding RNA of Triticum aestivum (bread wheat), 132 nucleotides long. The record is from Rfam. Lineage: Eukaryota; Viridiplantae; Streptophyta; Magnoliopsida; Poales; Poaceae.
UACGUACCCCCUCCUCUUUCCGAAAAUACUUGUCAUGAAUAAAAGGGAAUGUAUAUAGAUGUAUUUUAGUUCUAAAUACAUCCAUUUUUGUCUAUUUUAAUGACAAGUAUUUUCGGACGGAGGGAGUAACUA